UUCGCAAUGCCCGAAAGGGUGACGAAGCGACGCCGCGUGCGGGAAGAAGGCCUUCGGGUUGUAAACCGCUGUCGGGAGUUAAGAAAUGUAAGGAUGUUAAUAGCGUCUUUGCUUGACUAAGGCUCCGGAGGAAGCCACGGCUAACUCUGUGCCAGCAGCCGCGGUAAUACAGAGGCGGCAAGCGUUGUUCGGAAUUAUUGGGCGUAAAGAGCACGUAGGCGGCUAUGUAAGUCGGUUGUGAAAGCCUUCCGCUCAACGGGAGAACAGCAUCCGAUACUGCAUGGCUUGAGUGUGGGAGGGGAGAGUGGAACUUCUGGUGGAGCGGUGAAAUGCGUAGAUAUCAGAAGGAACGCCGGCGGCGAAAGCGGCUCUCUGGCCCAUAACUGACGCUGAGUGUGCGAAAGCUAGGGGAGCAAACGGGAUUAGAUACCCCGGUAGUCCUAGCCGUAAACGAUGGGCACUAAGUAGAGGGGUUU
This 476-nucleotide ribosomal RNA is filed under the name uncultured Planctomycetales bacterium. RNAcentral's name for it is "bacterial SSU rRNA". It matches the Rfam family "Bacterial small subunit ribosomal RNA", at positions 365 to 831 of the family's 1533-position model. Lineage: Bacteria; Pseudomonadati; Planctomycetota; Planctomycetia; Planctomycetales. The record is from RNAcentral.